GAUGAACGCUGGCGGCGCGCCUAAUACAUGCAAGUCGAGCGAACAGACGAGGAGCUUGCUCCUCUGACGUUAGCGGCGGACGGGUGAGUAACACGUGGAUAACCUACCUAUAAGACUGGGAUAACUUCGGGAAACCGGAGCUAAUACCGGAUAAUAUAUUGAACCGCAUGGUUCAAUAGUGAAAGACGGUUUUGCUGUCACUUAUAGAUGGAUCCGCGCCGCAUUAGCUAGUUGGUAAGGUAACGGCUCACCAAGGCAACGAUGCGUAGCCGACCUGAGAGGGUGAUCGGCCACACUGGAACUGAGACACGGUCCAGACUCCUACGGGAGGCAGCAGUAGGGAAUCUUCCGCAAUGGGCGAAAGCCUGACGGAGCAACGCCGCGUGAGUGAUGAAGGUCUUCGGAUCGUAAAACUCUGUUAUUAGGGAAGAACAAAUGUGUAAGUAACUAUGCACGUCUUGACGGUACCUAAUCAGAAAGCCACGGCUAACUACGUG
This 497-nucleotide ribosomal RNA is filed under the name uncultured bacterium. Its description in RNAcentral is "partial 16S ribosomal RNA". It matches the Rfam family "Bacterial small subunit ribosomal RNA", at positions 28 to 507 of the family's 1533-position model. The record is from RNAcentral.